UGGCAAGACAACGUUUGCCGGUCAGCUAGUGUCAUAUAAAAUUGAUUUUUACUUUUAACCAGAACAAUCUUUACUGUAGAUAUAAUUGUGCGGCAAUACGAUAGCUACAGUUUACAACAAUCAAUUCCCGGAACUACGUAUUUCAUAGAAUUAAUAUUAACAGUACUGUCAUUGGCAAAGUGACGUCUCGACACUCUUAGAAAGUUGUAUAAUAUUAGAUAUUGGGCUCAUUAUAAUGCUUGUAAGUUUGAUAAUAGUUAGUCUAAACGUUGAAUUGUUACCAUUAGUUAAUUGAUUUGUGUAAUUAUAUUUAUUAAGUAAUAUUUAUAAAUAAAGUUAAGGCAAUUAGUACAAUAAUAGGGCUAGUAUUAAUAAUUAAUGUUUGUUUGUUGAUAUUGCAAAAAUAAUCUUGUUCUGGUAACUCUGCUUAAGUUUUUGGGCUUUCGAAUGAGACUAAAACUGUAGGUAUGUGUGUCCGCAACAAAUAAAGCUGUCUGAAAGCUGCUGAUAAUAUUGCAAGUCAAAAAUACAUAAAUUAAUAAUUUUACAGACAA
This is a long non-coding RNA of Melitaea cinxia (Glanville fritillary), 554 nucleotides long. RefSeq lists it as uncharacterized. The record is from RefSeq and is a predicted model, not a curated record. Lineage: Eukaryota; Metazoa; Arthropoda; Insecta; Lepidoptera; Nymphalidae. The transcript has 2 exons.